UAGGGAAUCUUCGGCAAUGGGGGCAACCCUGACCGAGCAACGCCGCGUGGGUGAAGAAGGUUUUCGGAUCGUAAAGCUCUGUUGUAAGAGAAGAACGUGUGUGAGAGUGGAAAGUUCACACAGUGACGGUAACUUACCAGAAAGGGACGGCUAACUACGUGCCAGCAGCCGCGGUAAUACGUAGGUCCCGAGCGUUGUCCGGAUUUAUUGGGCGUAAAGCGAGCGCAGGCGGUUUAAUAAGUCUGAAGUUAAAGGCAGUGGCUUAACCAUUGUUCGCUUUGGAAACUGUUAAACUUGAGUGCAGAAGGGGAGAGUGGAAUUCCAUGUGUAGCGGUGAAAUGCGUAGAUAUAUGGAGGAACACCGGUGGCGAAAGCGGCUCUCUGGUCUGUAACUGACGCUGAGGCUCGAAAGCGUGGGGAGCAAACAGG
Molecule: ribosomal RNA, 429 nt
Filed under: bacterium
Lineage: Bacteria
Description: partial 16S ribosomal RNA
Rfam family: Bacterial small subunit ribosomal RNA
Source: RNAcentral